Molecule: ribosomal RNA, 270 nt
Filed under: uncultured archaeon
Lineage: Archaea
Description: partial 16S ribosomal RNA
Rfam family: Archaeal small subunit ribosomal RNA
Source: RNAcentral
CAGCUCUCCGAGUGGUAGGGAUGAUUAUUGGGCCUAAAGCAUCCGUAGCCUGCUUAGCAAGUCUCCUGUUAAAUUCAGCGACCUAAUCGUUGAGCCGCGGGAGAUACUACUAGGCUAGGAGGCGGGAGAGGUCGACGGUACUUCUGGGGUAGGGGUGAAAUCCUAUAAUCCCGGGAGGACCACCAGUGGCGAAGGCUGUCGACUAGAACGCGCUCGACGGUGAGGGACGAAAGCUGGGGGAGCGAACCGGAUUAGAGACCCGAGUAGUCC